AAGAUCAUCUCCUGGAGUUGAGCAUUCUGAGCAUGGAGAUCUUUGACAGUUUGCCCGAGGUCCAUUUUUCUGCUUGCAUGAAAACUGUGAGAACAUUGAUCCCUUUAGAACACCUGUUAUGCAAUGCUAUGUCAUGCUAUGCAAUGUAUGCAAUGUUUUCAAGGACUUUUUGGAAUUUUAACUUUGCGUAAACCACCAAAAAAGGAAACUUUUGUUUUUCUCUCUUUUUUUUUUUUUUUUUUUUUUUUUUUUUUUUUUUUAAAAA
This 265-nucleotide long non-coding RNA is filed under the name Lathyrus oleraceus (garden pea). Its description in RNAcentral is "Pisum sativum (pea) long non-coding RNA (PSAT_LNC008903)". The record is from RNAcentral. Lineage: Eukaryota; Viridiplantae; Streptophyta; Magnoliopsida; Fabales; Fabaceae.